Molecule: ribosomal RNA, 445 nt
Filed under: uncultured bacterium
Lineage: Bacteria
Description: partial 16S ribosomal RNA
Rfam family: Bacterial small subunit ribosomal RNA
Source: RNAcentral
GUGAGGAAUAUUGGACAAUGGGCGCAAGUCUGAUCCAGCCAUGCCGCGUGCAGGAAGACGCAUCUAUGGUGUGUAAACUGCUUUUGUACGGGAAGAAACACUCCCUCGUGAGGGAGCUUGACGGUACCGUAAGAAUAAGGAUCGGCUAACUCCGUGCCAGCAGCCGCGGUAAUACGGAGGAUCCAAGCGUUAUCCGGAAUCAUUGGGUUUAAAGGGUCCGUAGGCGGUUUAAUAAGUCAGUGGUGAAAGCCCAUCGCUCAACGAUGGAACGGCCAUUGAUACUGUUAGACUUGAAUUACAAGGAAGUAACUAGAAUAUGUAGUGUAGCGGUGAAAUGCUUAGAUAUUACAUGGAAUACCAAUUGCGAAGGCAGGUUACUACUUGUGGAUUGACGCUGAUGGACGAAAGCGUGGGGAGCGAACAGGAUUAGAAACCCCAGUAGUCC